Molecule: ribosomal RNA, 254 nt
Filed under: uncultured bacterium
Lineage: Bacteria
Description: partial 16S ribosomal RNA
Rfam family: Bacterial small subunit ribosomal RNA
Source: RNAcentral
UACAGAGGUCUCAAGCGUUGUUCGGAUUCAUUGGGCGUAAAGAGCUCGUAGGCGGUGUGUCACGUCGGCCGUGAAAACCUGGGGCUUAACUCUGGGCGUGCGGUCGAUACGGGCAUCACUAGAGUUCGGCAGGGGAGACUGGAAUUCCUGGUGUAGCGGUGAAAUGCGCAGAUAUCAGGAGGAACACCGGUGGCGAAGGCGGGUCUCUGGGCCGUAACUGACGCUGAGGAGCGAAAGCAUGGGGAGCGAACAGG